GUGCACCAGGCGAGAAACCUCCGCAAUGCGGGAAACCGCGACGGGGGACCCCGAGUGCCGUGGCAACGCCACGGCUUUUCCGGAGUGUAAAAAGCUCCGGGAAUAAGGGCUGGGCAAGGCCGGUGGCAGCCGCCGCGGUAAUACCGGCGGCCCGAGUGGUGGCCGCUAUUAUUGGGCCUAAAGCGUCCGUAGCCGGGCCCGUAAGUCCCUGGCGAAAUCCCACGGCUCAACCGUGGGGCUUGCUGGGGAUACUGCGGGUCUUGGGACCGGGAGAGGCGGGGGGUACCCCUGGGGUAGGGGUGAAAUCCUAUAAUCCCAGGGGGACCGCCAGUGGCGAAGGCGCCCCGCUGGAACGGGUCCGACGGUGAGGGACGAAGGCCAGGGGAGCAAACCGGAUUAGAUACCCCGGUAGU
Molecule: ribosomal RNA, 413 nt
Filed under: uncultured microorganism
Description: bacterial SSU rRNA
Rfam family: Archaeal small subunit ribosomal RNA
Source: RNAcentral